RNAcentral lists this ribosomal RNA (483 nucleotides) under uncultured bacterium. RNAcentral describes it as "partial 16S ribosomal RNA". It matches the Rfam family "Bacterial small subunit ribosomal RNA", at positions 29 to 523 of the family's 1533-position model. The record is from RNAcentral.
AGUGAACGCUGGCGGCGUGCUUAACACAUGCAAGUCGAACGAGAACGGAUUAUAGCUUGCUAUAAUUGUCAGCAAAGUGGCGCACGGGUGAGUAAUGUAUAGGUAAUAUGCCUCUUACUAAGGGAUAACAAAUGGAAACGUUUGCUAAUACCUUGUACUCCUUAUUAACACAGUUAAUAAGGGAAAGAUUUAUUGGUAAGAGAUUAGCCUGUAUUGUAUCAGUUAGUUGGUGGGGUAAUGGCUUACCAAGACUAUGACACAUAACUGGUUUGAGAGGAUGAUCAGUCACACUGGAACUGAGACACGGUCCAGACUCCUACGGGAGGCAGCAGUGGGGAAUAUUGCACAAUGGACGAAAGUCUGAUGCAGCAACGCCGCGUGGAGGAUGACACAUUUCGGUGCGUAAACUCCUUUUAUAUGAGAAGAUAAUGACGGUAUUAUAUGAAUAAGCACCGGCUAACUCCGUGCCAGCCGCCGCGGUAA